AAUCUAGCCAUCCAGGUUGAAUGAAGUUCAAGUUUGCUUAACUUAUCACAUUUAUUAUUUAAUUUUCUAUAGUAGUCGGAUCGCAUAUUAUAAAUAAUGUUCAAACGUCCGCAGAUGUAUGAAUAUAUUUGGAACACCGAUUUACGUUUAGUUGGAUGUUAAAUAACUAAAAUACUUUCUACUUAAGUAUUUUAUAAACAUGAGUGUCCAGGGACGUCUUGCAUUUAUUACUGGCGCAGGCUCUGGGAUAGGUAGGGCGGCAUCCCAAUGUUUAGCCAGAGAAGGAGCAAUAGUAAUAGCUGCAGAUAAAAAUGUCGAAAAUGCCAAAGAGACUGUAAACCUAUUACCAAAAGACAACAAACAUACCUCAUUGCAAUUGUCCGUUGAGAACAAGGAUAGCGUUAAAUUGGCCUUGGAUACUGUAAUCAAAGCUUACUUAAAACCACCAAGCAUUAUUGUGAAUGCUGCUGGUAUAACUAGAGAUAAUUUCCUUAACAAACUAUCCGAAGAAGAUUUUUCUGAAGUUUUGGAUGUAAAUUUAAAGGGCACCUUUUUAAUUCUCCAAACAUUUGCAAAUUCGAUUGUUGAAAAUAAUGUGCAAGAGGCCUCAAUAAUAAAUGUUGGCAGCAUAGUUGCAAAGUAUGGAAAUAUAGGUCAAGCAAAUUACUGUGCGAGCAAAGCAGGUGUUGAAUUAUUAACUAAAGUGGCAUCAAGGGAAUAUAGCAAAAAGGGCAUAAGGGUAAAUACUGUUUUACCUGGUAUGAUUUCUACUCCUAUGACCGCUGCAGUUCCAGAAAAAGUUAAAGCUAAAUUUUUAACUCAAAUACCACUUGGGCGAUUUGGCACACCUGAAGAAAUUGCAGAAGUCAUUUUGUUUCUGGCGUCAUGUAGAAGUUCUUACGUGACAGGUACAUCUAUAGAAGUAACAGGGGGAUUUUAACCAACUGUGCCAAUUGUCUUCUGACAUAUGCGUCCAGGUGUCACGAUGCAGCUUUCGGUAGGUGUAAAAAACCCCAGAAUCCAGAUCAAAGAGCCUAAAGGUAGCUGGAACUAUUUUGACGAAUUUGGAUGGUUUUUCGGUUGGCCCCUUUAAGAGGCUGCAAGUGAUCCUUGCCGACCUAUUUAGAUUUCGCGUUGUUUUUUCUAAUUAAAAUAUGAAACCUAAUAUUUUUUACAAAACGAUUCGUGCUAGGGAAUUUUAUCGGUUAUUUAUGUUGAAGUAGUAGAUGACAAUUAACCUUGUAGUUUUUACUUGCAACAUUUAAGUUGCUUGCAUUAACAUUAUGUUUGAUGCAAAAUUUACCUUGCAGUUUUUAAGAAAUUAUUAUUGCGGUUUUUGCGAAUUUUGCAGAACGUCUUCUUCGAAAUUUUAGUGUCCUCUUUUUACUUACUUAAGAUCUAGAUUUCUGCUUACAUCGUCAAACGGUGUAUAUUAUAUUGUAUUAUUUUAUUUGCUAUUAUGCCAAUAUACAAUUUAUUUCAGGUACUAUAGGUAAAUGUUUCUAUUUACUAAUGAAACGUUUUUAUUGCAGAGCUGAACUCUUUAUAAUUAAUUAUAUCAUUUAGGUACUUCUUUUGCUACCAUACAAUAUUUUUCAAGUUAAUCAGGCAGCUUGAAAAUACUUUUAGUUACUAAUAAAAAAAAUUUCUAGCAGCAUUAAACCGUUUACAUUUUAGGAUGUUUAUUACCUAAUUAAAUAAUUAUACCUUUUCAAGCUACAUUGUGAACAGUCGAAGUAAUGUUUUUAAAUAUCUUAACUUCUAAUUAAUUGAUUGCCCAGAUUGCCUGUUGUACUAAACACAUUACUUUCCUCUGUAAAAUUAUUCCGUGCAAAUCCAGGUACGGUCAAACUAAACUGAUACAAAUUUUAUUUCAUGGUACCAAUUUACCACUUUUUUGUGGUAAUGAGAAAAACCCGAUUUACAUGUGCGAAGUUAAUAAAGUAAUUUCUAACAAAGUU
Dendroctonus ponderosae (mountain pine beetle) is the source of this 1961-nucleotide RNA transcript. It is a transcript of the gene named estradiol 17-beta-dehydrogenase 8, with no coding region annotated. The record is from RefSeq and is a predicted model, not a curated record. Lineage: Eukaryota; Metazoa; Arthropoda; Insecta; Coleoptera; Curculionidae. The transcript has 7 exons.